RNAcentral lists this ribosomal RNA (497 nucleotides) under uncultured bacterium. RNAcentral describes it as "partial 16S ribosomal RNA". It matches the Rfam family "Bacterial small subunit ribosomal RNA", at positions 28 to 507 of the family's 1533-position model. The record is from RNAcentral.
GAUGAACGCUGGCGGCGUGCCUAAUACAUGCAAGUCGAGCGAACGAACGAGAAGCUUGCUUCUCUGAUGUUAGCGGCGGACGGGUGAGUAACACGUGGAUAACCUACCUAUAAGACUGGGAUAACUUCGGGAAACCGGAGCUAAUACCGGAUGAUAUUUUGAACCGCAUGGUUCAAAAGUGAAAGACGGUCUUGCUGUCACUUAUAGAUGGAUCCGCGCUGCAUUAGCUAGUUGGUAAGGUAACGGCUUACCAAGGCAACGAUGCAUAGCCGAUCUGAGAGGGUGAUCGGCCACACUGGAACUGAGACACGGUCCAGACUCCUACGGGAGGCAGCAGUAGGGAAUCUUCCGCAAUGGGCGAAAGCCUGACGGAGCAACGCCGCGUGAGUGAUGAAGGUCUUCGGAUCGUAAAACUCUGUUAUUAGGGAAGAACAUAUGUGUAAGUAACUGUGCACAUCUUGACGGUACCUAAUCAGAAAGCCACGGCUAACUACGUG